AUAAUAAAAUAGGACGAGUGAUUCUAUUUUGUUGGUUUAUAGAACCACCGUAAUGAUUAAUAGGAACAGUUGGGGGCAUUAGUAUUCAGUUGCUAGAGGUGAAAUUCUUGGAUUUACUGAAGACUAACUACUGCGAAAGCAUUUGCCAAGGAUGUUUUCAUUAAUAAAGGACGAUGGUUGGGGGAUCGAAAAUGAUUAGAUACCGUUGUAGUCCCAACAGUAAACUAUGCCGACUGAGGAUUGGAUGACGUUAUAU
Molecule: ribosomal RNA, 256 nt
Filed under: Wallemia sebi
Lineage: Eukaryota; Fungi; Basidiomycota; Wallemiomycetes; Wallemiales; Wallemiaceae
Description: partial small subunit ribosomal RNA
Rfam family: Eukaryotic small subunit ribosomal RNA
Source: RNAcentral